UUGCUCGGAGCACAACCCAAGGACCAAGUCAGUGACUCAAUUUUAUAAAGGGGAAUUAAAACCGACAUUAUACCCCCGGGGUUUGUACAGUGUGAUGAUGAAUAUAGAUGCUCUCUAGAAUCUGUCAAACCUGAGAAUCAAAGGUGUAGUAGUACUUUUUCAAGUAACUGAUUAUGAAAGUGUUUAUUUCUUGAUACACUGCCAAAUGUCUAUAGAUAAGAGUACAAAAAGAUAUCAAGAAAGAAUAAAGGAUGAAGACGAGAGGAAGAGAAAAGUCGAAAACCAGAAGUAUCCUUUUACCUUUCAACAACGCCGAACAAAAUGGAGGCCAAGCGAGAGAAUGAGAUAGAGAAGAUAGGCGUGCCACGGGGAAUGAAGGAAGAGAGAGACCCUCAAAAUAAUCGUGAAUGAGGCUAUCGAAUAAAAAGAGCAAAGGAAAAAUGCGCCGGCGUUGGAAAAAUGUGGAUUAAACGGUGUGCCCUUAGCUUUUUGUGAGAAUAUCGACCAAGGGAGCCUCAAAAGGAAAAACAAUCGAAAAGGAAAAUAUCUAAAAGAGAAACGUGAAGAGAGUAUAUCUGUAUAUUAUACAGAAAUAGGUGGAAAGGAAAAUAUACCAUAGAGAAAAGACGCGGCUGAGUGAAACAAAAAGGAGGUUACAAUAAAAAGGAGAAAGCAGGAACAAGUGGUUUGCGAUGCCAAACGCAAAAAUAGAAAUCCGAAGAUGUAAUACCCACAAUGAAAGGAUGAGAUAAGUGAAAUGGAGGACGGGAAGGAGAAGAACGGGCAGAGUCGAAAGGGUGGUCUAACGAAGGUGUGUGAUGUAAACAUAGGGAAGUAAGUAAAUCGAUAGCCAAUGUAGCUAAGAUAAGGGGGAGGGAACGAGUGGUGAAACAAACGAGGUAGAGCGAAAGAAUAAAAUUAGAAUAAAAGACUCUACAACCCACACGCCAUGCUUAUGCAAAUGCUGUGCUGCACUUUUUACUUAUUUUCUUUUUUUUUCAUUUUGACAAACAGAAAAAUUUGCUGGGCCCAAACGCGCAUUCCGGUGCCGCGCAAGUAGGACUCGAGGGCGACGUCCCUGGUGAGAAUGUCGAAUUGAAUAUGACUUUAGGCUCAGCCAAAAGUUAUUAAAAUUAAAACUGGCUGCUGAUGGAGACUGAAAAUGGCAAACCUGCAAGACAUAGCGGGGCAAGUGGUGAAUAUGGUAGACUAGAACGUAUCUUCAGUAUUCCCAAAUUUUUUCGUGUGUUGAACCUUGUUCAAGGAAAGAGUUAGGACUGCGGAGCAGCUGGGCUUGGGGGAGUGUUAUUAUUAUUGGGUGACUGCCUUGAUUGUCUCGAAGUAGAUCGUCGGCCGCGACUCGGCGGGCCCGAAUGGGAAGGGCUAUGGGGGAAAUCAGGUGCCAAGUCUGGAUUUUGACUUGGAGGAACGCGAGUGGAAUAUGGGUAGUCACUGAUUACCGGGUCAUCUUCUCUUGUAUCAGGAUGGACUUCAACUCCCUGAUGCUGCCCGAGACCCGAAUGUCGACUGGAGGGUGAAAGCUUGAAAGCGUCUGCCUCUCCUGGACUUCGUCCCACAGGCGACCAACCUCCGAUACUACCGGCAACUACACCUGCCAUCACCGCUGCCGGCCUCAGAUUUGAGUUGGAUCGCGACCGGCUGCUGCG
RNAcentral lists this small RNA (1667 nucleotides) under Histoplasma capsulatum. Its description in RNAcentral is "hypothetical RNA". Lineage: Eukaryota; Fungi; Ascomycota; Eurotiomycetes; Onygenales; Ajellomycetaceae. RNAcentral also lists the same sequence under 1 other name. The record is from RNAcentral.